Molecule: long non-coding RNA, 459 nt
Organism: Ctenopharyngodon idella (grass carp)
Lineage: Eukaryota; Metazoa; Chordata; Actinopteri; Cypriniformes; Xenocyprididae
Exons: 3
Source: RefSeq, a predicted model, not a curated record
AUCUAUCUAUCUAUCUGUCUAUGCACCCUAAGCAACUGCAUAGCAACACCCUAGCAACCACCCAGAAUACCCUAGCAACCAUAUAGGAACACACUAGCAACCACUCAGAAUACCCUAGCAACCGCAUAGGAACAUACUAGCAACCACCUAGAAUACCCUAGCAACCACAUAGGAACAUACUAGCAACCACUCAGAAUACCCUAGCAACCGUAUAGGAACAUACUAGCAACCACCUAGAAUACCCUAGCAACCACAUAGGAACAUACUAGCAACCACUCAGAAUACCCUAGCAACUGCAUAGGAACACACUAGCAACCACUCAGAAUACCCUAGCAACCGCAUAGGAACACACUAGCAACCACUCAGAAUACCCUAGCAACCGUAUAGGAACACACUAGCAACCACUCAGAAUACCCUAGCAACCGCAUAGGAACAUACUAGCAACCACUCAGAAUACCC